RNAcentral lists this ribosomal RNA (1362 nucleotides) under uncultured bacterium. Its description in RNAcentral is "16S ribosomal RNA". It matches the Rfam family "Bacterial small subunit ribosomal RNA", at positions 28 to 1381 of the family's 1533-position model. The record is from RNAcentral.
GAUGAACGCUAGCGACAGGCUUAACACAUGCAAGUCGAGGGGCAGCAGGGGAGUAGCAAUACUCCCGCUGGCGACCGGCGCACGGGUGAGUAACACGUAUGCAACCUGCCCUUGUCAGGGGGAUAAGCGGAAGAAAUUCCGUCUAAUACCGCAUAAUGCUGCGGGGAGACAUCUCCCUGCAGCCAAAGAUUUAUCGGACAAGGAUGGGCAUGCGGCGCAUUAGCUGGUUGGCGGGGUAACGGCCCACCAAGGCGACGAUGCGUAGGGGUUCUGAGAGGAAGGUCCCCCACACUGGUACUGAGACACGGACCAGACUCCUACGGGAGGCAGCAGUGAGGAAUAUUGGUCAAUGGCCGGGAGGCUGAACCAGCCAAGUCGCGUGAGGGAAGACGGUCCUAUGGAUUGUAAACCUCUUUUGUCAGGGAGCAAAAACUGCCACGCGUGGCAGGAUGAGAGUACCUGAAGAAAAAGCAUCGGCUAACUCCGUGCCAGCAGCCGCGGUAAUACGGUGGAUGCGAGCGUUAUCCGGAUUUAUUGGGUUUAAAGGGUGCGUAGGCGGACAGUUAAGUCAGCGGUAAAAUUGAGAGGCUCAACCUCUUCCCGCCGUUGAAACUGAUUGUCUUGAGUGGGCGAGAAGUAUGCGGAAUGCGUGGUGUAGCGGUGAAAUGCAUAGAUAUCACGCAGAACUCCGAUUGCGAAGGCAGCAUACCGGCGCCCAACUGACGCUGAAGCACGAAAGCGUGGGUAUCGAACAGGAUUAGAUACCCUGGUAGUCCACGCAGUAAACGAUGAAUACUAAUUGUUCGGGUCAAAUGAGAUCUGAGUGAUACAGCGAAAGCGUUAAGUAUUCCACCUGGGGAGUACGCCGGCAACGGUGAAACUCAAAGGAAUUGACGGGGGCCCGCACAAGCGGAGGAACAUGUGGUUUAAUUCGAUGAUACGCGAGGAACCUUACCCGGGCUCAAACGACACAGGAAUGAUCUGAGAAAUCAGGCAGUCCUCCGGGACCUGUGUCGAGGUGCUGCAUGGUUGUCGUCAGCUCGUGCCGUGAGGUGUCGGCUUAAGUGCCAUAACGAGCGCAACCCCCAUCGACAGUUGCCAGCAGGUGAAGCUGGGCACUCUGUCGAGACUGCCGGCGCAAGCUGUGAGGAAGGCGGGGAUGACGUCAAAUCAGCACGGCCCUUACGUCCGGGGCGACACACGUGUUACAAUGGCAGGUACAGCGGGAAGCCACCUGGCGACAGGGAGCGGAACCCGAAAGCCUGUCUCAGUUCGGAUUGGAGUCUGCAACUCGACUCCAUGAAGCUGGAUUCGCUAGUAAUCGCGCAUCAGCCACGGCGCGGUGAAUACGUUCCCGGGCCU